This 404-nucleotide ribosomal RNA is filed under the name Actinomycetes bacterium. Its description in RNAcentral is "Actinobacteria bacterium partial 16S ribosomal RNA". It matches the Rfam family "Bacterial small subunit ribosomal RNA", at positions 355 to 776 of the family's 1533-position model. Lineage: Bacteria; Bacillati; Actinomycetota; Actinomycetes. The record is from RNAcentral.
UGGGGAAUAUUGGACAAUGGGCGCAAGCCUGAUCCAGCCAUGCCGCGUGAGCGAUGAAGGCCCUAGGGUUGUAAAGCUCUUUCACCGGUGAAGAUAAUGACGGUAACCGGAGAAGAAGCCCCGGCUAACUUCGUGCCAGCAGCCGCGGUAAUACGAAGGGGGCUAGCGUUGUUCGGAUUUACUGGGCGUAAAGCGCACGUAGGCGGACUAUUAAGUCAGGGGUGAAAUCCCGGGGCUCAACCCCGGAACUGCCUUUGAUACUGGUAGUCUUGAGUUCGAGAGAGGUGAGUGGAAUUCCGAGUGUAGAGGUGAAAUUCGUAGAUAUUCGGAGGAACACCAGUGGCGAAGGCGGCUCACUGGCUCGAUACUGACGCUGAGGUGCGAAAGCGUGGGGAGCAAACAGG